GCCCUGUUCCGCGGGUGCCGGGGCUGUGCCGAGCGCAGGUGCGUGGAGUCAGGAAUCCACCGACACGGAGCUCGCUGCACGGGACG
This 86-nucleotide microRNA precursor is filed under the name Ictidomys tridecemlineatus (thirteen-lined ground squirrel). RNAcentral describes it as "miRNA (ENSSTOG00000033858.1)". Lineage: Eukaryota; Metazoa; Chordata; Mammalia; Rodentia; Sciuridae. The record is from RNAcentral.